GCUAGUAAUCGUGGAUCAGAAUGCCACGGUGAAUACGUUCCCGGGCCUUGUACACACCGCCCGUCACACCAUGGGAGUGGGUUGCAAAAGAAGUAGGUAGCUUAACCUUCGGGAGGGCGCUUACCACUUUGUGAUUCAUGACUGGGGUGAAGUCGUAACAAGGUAACCGUAGGGGAACCUGCGGUUGGAUCACCUCCUUACCUKAAAGAA
Molecule: ribosomal RNA, 210 nt
Filed under: Salmonella enterica subsp. enterica serovar Infantis
Lineage: Bacteria; Pseudomonadati; Pseudomonadota; Gammaproteobacteria; Enterobacterales; Enterobacteriaceae
Description: partial 16S ribosomal RNA
Source: RNAcentral